This 817-nucleotide long non-coding RNA is filed under the name Musa acuminata (dwarf banana). RNAcentral describes it as "long non-coding RNA (MACU_LNC005090)". Lineage: Eukaryota; Viridiplantae; Streptophyta; Magnoliopsida; Zingiberales; Musaceae. The record is from RNAcentral.
GCCAGGUUGAGCUGUUCCACCUUCUGCAAGCACCCGAAGGAGAGGGGGAUGGGGCCGGUGAUCUGGUUGGACCCGGCGUCGAACACCGUGGCCCUCUUUAGCAGCCCUGUUUCGUAGGGGAGGCAGCCGGAGAGCCGGUUGCCGAGGAACAGGACCUCGAUCAGGGUGUCGCAGGCCUUGCCGAUGGAGCUGGGGAUGGGGCCGGUGAAGUCGUUGUUGGCGAGGGUGAGGUAGGCGGCGGUGGUGCUGCCGAGGUUGGCCGGGAUGUUCUGGGUGAACCCGUUGUUGUUGAGGAAGAGCACGUCGGUGCGGAUGAGGAAGACGGCGGGUGGGACGGGGCCGGCGUAGCCGUUGUAGCGGAGGUCGAGGAAGGCGAGGUCGACGAGUGGGAGCACGCUGGCGGGGAAGCCGCCGGAGAGGCGGUUGUUGCUAAGGUCGAGCUCGUAGAAGAAGGGGAGGCUGGCGAGGGCGGGGACGGUACCGCCGAAGCUGUUGGAGUUGGCGUGGAAGAGCGCAAGGUCGGGAAGCUGGUCGACGAAGCCGCAGACGGUAGGGGCGGAGAGGGUGAAUCCGUUGAAGUCAACGGAGGCGAUGGUGCGCAUGUUGCUAAGCCCCGGCGGGGUCUCGCAGUAGAAGCCUUGGUAGCCGCGGCCGUCGUUGUUGCAGAUGCGGAACCCCGUCCAGGAGCCGGUCUUGUUCUUGGGGUCGCAGGUGACGGUCUGCUUGAAGCGCUGGAUGACGAAGUACGCGCGGUACUGCAGGAUGUUCUCGAAGUCGCUCGGCUGCGGCUGCCGCGGAGGAGGAGGAGGGCACUCGG